CAAAUUUGAAAUCUGGCACCUUCGGUGUCCGAGUUGUAAUUUGAAGAAGGUAACUUUGGAGUUGGGUCUUGUCUAUGUUCCUUGGAACAGGACGUCACAGAGGGUGAGAAUCCCGUGCGAUGAGAUGUCCAACUCUAUGUAAAGUGCUUUCGAAGAGUCGAGUUGUUUGGGAAUGCAGCUCUAAGUGGGUGGUAAAUUCCAUCUAAAGCUAAAUAUUGGCGAGAGACCGAUAGCGAACAAGUACAGUGAUGGAAAGAUGAAAAGAACUUUGAAAAGAGAGUGAAAAAGUACGUGAAAUUGUUGAAAGGGAAGGGUUUGAGAUCAGACUUGGUAUUUUGUAUGUCUUGCUUUCGGGUGGGGCCUCUGCAGUUUACUGGGCCAGCAUCGGUUUGGACGGUAGGAUAAUGACAUUGGAAUGUGGCACUACUUCGGUGGUGUGUUAUAGACUUUGUUGAUACUGCCUGUCUAGACCGAGGACUGCGUCUUUGACUAGGAUGCUGGCAUAAUGAUCCUAAACCGCC
This 521-nucleotide ribosomal RNA is filed under the name Scheffersomyces shehatae. RNAcentral describes it as "eukaryotic LSU rRNA". It matches the Rfam family "Eukaryotic large subunit ribosomal RNA", at positions 110 to 649 of the family's 3401-position model. Lineage: Eukaryota; Fungi; Ascomycota; Pichiomycetes; Serinales; Debaryomycetaceae. The record is from RNAcentral.